RNAcentral lists this ribosomal RNA (253 nucleotides) under uncultured bacterium. RNAcentral describes it as "partial 16S ribosomal RNA". It matches the Rfam family "Bacterial small subunit ribosomal RNA", at positions 524 to 776 of the family's 1533-position model. The record is from RNAcentral.
UAAGAAGGGGGCUAGCAUUGUACGGAAUCACUGGGCGUAAAGCGCACGUAGGCGGAUUUGUCAGUCAGGGGUGAAAUCCCGGGGCUCAACCUCGGAACUGCCUUUGAUACAGCAAAUCUCGAAUACGGAAGAGGUGGGUGGAAUUCCUAGUGUAGAGGUGAAAUUCGUAGAUAUUAGGAAGAACACCAGUGGCUAAGGCGGCCCACUGGUCCGGUACUGACGCUGAGGUGCGAAAGCGUGGGGAGCAAACAGG